ACAAAUAAUAAGAGUGUGUAAACAAAUCGGAUUCAAAAUACCAAUUGGUAGAUCUGUAGCAAGUAAAAAACAAGAAUUGGAAUAAUAAGAGAACUAAACUUGGAUUAUGAAUUAUGAAAAGAAAGAGGAACUUACAAGAAUAAUAAUGAGAUUGAAAGGAAAAAAGAAAUAAGAGAAGGGUAGUUUGUGUAGGCAAUAUAGAGUUCCUGGGAAGAAG
This 217-nucleotide long non-coding RNA is filed under the name Glycine max (soybean). RNAcentral's name for it is "long non-coding RNA (GMAX_LNC001541)". The record is from RNAcentral. Lineage: Eukaryota; Viridiplantae; Streptophyta; Magnoliopsida; Fabales; Fabaceae.